GACGAACGCUGGCGGCGUGCUUAACACAUGAAAGUCGAACGAUGAAGCCGGAGCUUGCUCCGGUGGAUUAGUGGCGAACGGGUGAGUAACACGUGAGCAAUCUGCCCUUGACUCUGGGAUAACUGCGGGAAACUGUAGCUAAUACCGGAUACGACACCUUGGGGCAUCCCAGGGUGUGGAAAGAAUUUCGGUCAAGGAUGAGCUCGCGGCCUAUCAGCUAGUUGGUGAGGUAAUGGCUCACCAAGGCGACGACGGGUAGCCGGCCUGAGAGGGUGACCGGCCACACUGGAACUUAGACACGGUCCAGACUCCUACGGGAGGCAGCAGUGGGGAAUAUUGCACACUGGGCGAAAGCCUGAUGCAGCAACGCCGCGUGAGGGAUGAAGGCCUUCGGGUUGUAAACCUCUUUUAGCAGGGAAGAAGCGAUAGUGACGGUACCUGCAGAAAAAGCACCGGCUAACUACGUGCCAGCAGCCGCAGUAA
RNAcentral lists this ribosomal RNA (483 nucleotides) under uncultured bacterium. RNAcentral's name for it is "partial 16S ribosomal RNA". It matches the Rfam family "Bacterial small subunit ribosomal RNA", at positions 28 to 523 of the family's 1533-position model. The record is from RNAcentral.